UUGCUUUGGCAGCACAUAUACUAAGAUUGAAAUGAUAUGGAGAAGAUUAGCACGGCCCCUGUCCAAGGACAACACACAAUUCCAUGAAUCAUUCCAUAUUUCG
This 103-nucleotide small nuclear RNA is filed under the name Jaculus jaculus (lesser Egyptian jerboa). The record is from RNAcentral. Lineage: Eukaryota; Metazoa; Chordata; Mammalia; Rodentia; Dipodidae.